Non-coding RNA from Acanthosepion pharaonis, 99 nucleotides. The record is from the annotation of a GenBank genome assembly. NCBI's taxonomy places the organism in Eukaryota, Metazoa, Mollusca, Cephalopoda, Sepiida, Sepiidae.
GUUGAAAUAUCCGUUCCCGUACGAUCAUCGAAGUUAAGCAACACUCAGCUCCGUCAGUACCUGGAUGGGUGUCAAACUGGGAGUACCUAGUGUUGCAUA